CGUGAACCUUUACUAUAGCUUGACACUGAACAUUGAGCCUUGAUGUGUAGGAUAGGUGGGAGGCUUUGAAGCGUGGACGCCAGUCUGCGUGGAGCCGACCUUGAAAUACCACCCUUUAAUGUUUGAUGUUCUAACGUGGACCCGUUACCCGGGUUGCGGACAGUGUCUGGUGGGUAGUUUGACUGGGGCGGUCUCCUCCUAAAGAGUAACGGAGGAGCACGAAGGUUGGCUAAUCCUGGUCGGACAUCAGGAGGUUAGUGCAAUGGCAUAAGCCAGCUUGACUGCGAGCGUGACGGCGCGAGCAGGUGCGAAAGCAGGUCAUAGUGAUCCGGUGGUUCUGAAUGGAAGGGCCAUCGCUCAACGGAUAAAAGGUACUCCGGGGAUAACAGGCUGAUACCGCCCAAGAGUUCAUAUCGACGGCGGUGUUUGGCACCUCGAUGUCGGCUCAUCACAUCCUGGGGCUGAAGUAGGUCCCAAGGGUAUGGCUGUUCGCCAUUUAAAGUGGUACGCGAGCUGGGUUUAGAACGUCGUGAGACAGUUCGGUCCCUAUCUGCCGUGGGCGCUGGAGAACUGAGGGGGGCUGCUCCUAGUACGAGAGGACCGGAGUGGACGCAUCACUGGUGUUCGGGUUGUCAUGCCAAUGGCACUGCCCGGUAGCUAAAUGCGGAAGAGAUAAGUGCUGAAAGCAUCUAAGCACGAAACUUGCCCCGA
RNAcentral lists this ribosomal RNA (711 nucleotides) under Salmonella enterica. Its description in RNAcentral is "partial 23S ribosomal RNA". It matches the Rfam family "Bacterial large subunit ribosomal RNA", at positions 2092 to 2802 of the family's 2925-position model. The record is from RNAcentral. Lineage: Bacteria; Pseudomonadati; Pseudomonadota; Gammaproteobacteria; Enterobacterales; Enterobacteriaceae.